Non-coding RNA from Cricetulus griseus (Chinese hamster), 1416 nucleotides. The record is from RefSeq and is a predicted model, not a curated record. Lineage: Eukaryota; Metazoa; Chordata; Mammalia; Rodentia; Cricetidae.
CUAAGCAAUUUUUUAAAUUAAAUAAGAGUGAUGUUUUGAGAAUUCUUUUUUCUGCAUUACACAUUUGAAAUCAUUAUAAGUCAUUUUUGAGGAAUUGUGCAGUAGACCUGCAAACGAAUGCCUCUGUGUAAUAAAAUUUAGUACUAUGGUCAUCAAAGUACAUCCUAAAUUACAUAAAGCCUACAGACAUAUAAUCCAACUAAUGCUGCUAGAUUACAAUGCAGCCACAAUUUGAAUAUUCACAUUAGCACCAUGCUUAAAUAUAAGAGUGACUUCCAUCAAUAGAAUAUAAAACAAUUGAUAGAUACCUUUGCAUUACAGGCCAAGUUCCUAAAUAGGUGUCUACAUUCCAUAUAUCUAUUUGGCUCCACAGAUUGGGGAGCCCAGAUGGCUGUGUCUCCAGUGAAGCCAGAGACAAUAUAGCAAUCAGUUAAACAAUGCCACUAUUGCAACUACAGAGAUCCCCAGCAGACUUCUGCUUUUCUGCCAUCCUGGCUCAGAAGAGAUGCUAAGAUUGUACAGAGGAGUCCCAUGUGUACUGUACUCAGCUUCUUUGUAUAUAUAUGGAUUUUUUAAAGUUGGUUUUAAAGGACUUUGAGGAUUGUGCAAAAUUAGAGAGACUUGUAAUAUGAAUAAUAAAGUCCUAGAGAUAGACAUUGGGGUUCAAUCUUCAAGCUAAUGAUCAGAGAAGCAAAGAAGACAGCACCUACUCUUCCCUCUACCUCAGACUGGAAUGAGUGGCUCCAUGAAUCCUCAGAGUCCAAUGCUCUCCACCAAACCUCACACUGCAAUCCUACAUUGCUAUGCUCUCUUUGAUGUGGUUGGAGACUAAUUGCCUAAGACUGACUUUGCUUCUUCCUUAUAUACCUCUCUAGUUCUGGGAUUAAAGCUGCUGAAGGCUAUGCCUAGUUCCAUGAUCCUGCUACAGUUUGGGUCUGUGGUGAUUUCUAUGGCCCAUAUUACCAGGCUAGGACAUGCAAACCAUGCAUGUUGAAGCCUGAGGGCUGUACUGAGCAGUCCCUGCCUUUCUGUUGGCCCUGGGAGAUCUGACUCUGCACCUCCCUGGGAGAGAUAGCCCUGCCCUUCAUGGGACAGUUGAACCCCCUCCAUGUUAUGAGCACAGGAGAUCUGGCUCUAUUAUUUGCCUAAUGAGGGCAGUACCAUCAGAGGGACUAACUGACCAACUCAGCUACCACUCAGACUCACAUACAGUGUUGUGAGUUGGCCUACACCAAUAUAUACCACAUCUGUGACCUGCUGGAGUUGAUGAAGCAUCUGGUCUUGUGGAACCAUAGUUGCAGGAUUCCCCGUGACUCAGGCAACAGCAGGACAUCCAAGAAGAGUUUAGAUGAGGGUCCAGGACUGAGAGUAUAUCAGCAUCCCACGGUCUUGAAUCAGACCAGUACAAAGAACAUU